This 497-nucleotide ribosomal RNA is filed under the name uncultured bacterium. Its description in RNAcentral is "partial 16S ribosomal RNA". It matches the Rfam family "Bacterial small subunit ribosomal RNA", at positions 28 to 507 of the family's 1533-position model. The record is from RNAcentral.
GAUGAACGCUGGCGGCGUGCCUAAUACAUGCAAGUCGAGCGAACGGACGAGAAGCUUGCUUCUCUGAUGUUAGCGGCGGACGGGUGAGUAACACGUGGAUAACCUACCUAUAAGACUGGGAUAACUUCGGGAAACCGGAGCUAAUACCGGAUAAUAUUUUGAACCGCAUGGUUCAAAAGUGAAAGACGGUCUUGCUGUCACUUAUAGAUGGAUCCGCGCUGCAUUAGCUAGUUGGUAAGGUAACGGCUUACCAAGGCAACGAUGCAUAGCCGACCUGAGAGGGUGAUCGGCCACACUGGAACUGAGACACGGUCCAGACUCCUACGGGAGGCAGUAGUAGGGAAUCUUCCGCAAUGGGCGAAAGCCUGACGGAGCAACGCCGCGUGAGUGAUGAAGGUCUUCGGAUCGUAAAACUCUGUUAUUAGGGAAGAACAUAUGUGUAAGUAACUGUGCACAUCUUGACGGUACCUAAUCAGAAAGCCACGGCUAACUACGUG